This 468-nucleotide small RNA is filed under the name Homo sapiens (human). Its description in RNAcentral is "MUC20 overlapping transcript (ENSG00000280993.2)". The record is from RNAcentral. Lineage: Eukaryota; Metazoa; Chordata; Mammalia; Primates; Hominidae.
CACCACUGCAAGAGGGGAAGUUGCUACUGUGAUGAAUUCUGCCAUGUGGCACCAGACUGCCACCCAGACCACAGUGUCCUCUGCAACCCUGGUCAAAGGUGCCUACAUGCUCCUUCUAGCUUUGUUUCCCUGAUGUUCCUUGCCACCUGCUACUCCUCUCUGAGCUACUUUUCCAGCUUCUCAGAUGACCAAGAUGGUGCUGCAGAUGGUGCUGAGGAUGGAGAACCCACCAAGCCCCGCUAGGAGCCACCUAGACUGGAUGCAGAGCAUGGCCCCAGCACCCGCAGAGCAGACACUGCGAUGACAACGGACGACACAGAAGUGCCCGCUAUGACUCUAGCACCGGGCCACGCCGCUCUGGAAACUCAAACGCUGAGCGCUGAGACCUCUUCUAGGGCCUCAACCCCAGCCGGCCCCAUUCCAGAAGCAGAGACCAGGGGAGCCAAGAGAAUUUCCCCUGCAAGAGAG